GAUUAUGGCUCAGGACGAACGCUGGCGGCGUGCUUCAUACAUGCAAGUCGAACGAGAAGUCACCUUCGGGUGAUGGAAAGUGGCGGACGGGUGAGUAAUGUGUAGAGAAUCUGCCCUUAAGUGGGGGACAACAGUUGGAAACGACUGCUAAUACCCCAUAUGCGCGUAGUUGAGAUACUAUUCGUGAAAGAUUUAUUGCUUAAGGAUGAGUCUGCAUCUGAUUAGCUAGUUGGGGUGUAAUGGACCACCAAGGCGACGAUCAGUAGCUGGUUUGAGAGGAUGAUCAGCCACAAUGGGACUGAGACACGGCCCAUACCCCUACGGGAGGCAGCAGUAGGGAAUUUUGCGCAAUGGGCGAAAGCCUGACGCAGCCAACGCCGCGUGAUCGCAGACGGCCUUCGGGUUGUAAAGAUCUGUCAGUAGGGACGAAAGAUGACUGUACCUACAGAGGAAGCACCGGCUAACUCCGUGCCAGCCGCUGC
Molecule: ribosomal RNA, 482 nt
Filed under: uncultured bacterium
Lineage: Bacteria
Description: bacterial SSU rRNA
Rfam family: Bacterial small subunit ribosomal RNA
Source: RNAcentral